GAUGGCGACCGGCGCACGGUGAGUAACACGUAUCCAACCUGCCGAUGACUCGGGGAUAGCCUUUCGAAAGAAAGAUUAAUACCCGAUGGCAUAGUUCUUCCGCAUGGUAGAACUAUUAAAGAAUUUCGGUCAUCGAUGGGGAGUGCGUUCCAUUAGGUUGUUGGCGGGGUAACGGCCCACCAAGCCUUCGAUGGAUAGGGGUUCUGAGAGGAAGGUCCCCCCACAUUGGAACUGAGACACGGUCCAAACUCCUACGGGAGGCAGCAUG
Molecule: ribosomal RNA, 268 nt
Filed under: uncultured bacterium
Lineage: Bacteria
Description: partial 16S ribosomal RNA
Rfam family: Bacterial small subunit ribosomal RNA
Source: RNAcentral